Molecule: ribosomal RNA, 447 nt
Filed under: uncultured bacterium
Lineage: Bacteria
Description: bacterial SSU rRNA
Rfam family: Bacterial small subunit ribosomal RNA
Source: RNAcentral
UGGGGAAUCUUGGACAAUGGGCGCAAGCCUGAUCCAGCCAUGCCGCGUGAGUGAAGAAGGCCUUAGGGUUGUAAAGCUCUUUUACCAGGGACGAUAAUGACGGUACCUGGAGAAUAAGCCCCGGCAAACUUCGUGCCAGCAGCCGCGGUAAUACGAAGGGGGCUAGCGUUGUUCGGAAUUACUGGGCGUAAAGCGCACGUAGGCGGGUCGUUAAGUCAGGGGUGAAAUCCCGGAGCUCAACUCCGGAACUGCCUUUGAUACUGGCGAUCUAGAGGUCGAGAGAGGUGAGUGGAAUUCCGAGUGUAGAGGUGAAAUUCGUAGAUAUUCGGAAGAACACCAGUGGCGAAGGCGGCUCACUGGCUCGAUACUGACGCUGAGGUGCGAAAGCGUGGGGAGCAAACAGGAUUAGAUACCCGCGUAGUCCCUGAGCGGGCUGGCAAGGCGCAU